AUGGCUCAUUAAAUCAGUUAUGAUCUACGUGACAUAUUCUUUACUACUUGGAUAACCGUGGUAAUUCUAGAGCUAAUACAUGCAAAAAAGCCUCGACUUUACGAAGGGGUGCACUUAUUAGAUAAAACCAACGCGGGGUAAAACCUGUUCUUCUUGGUGAUUCAUAAUAAUUAAGCGGAUCGCAUGGCCUUGUGCUGGCGACGGUCCACUCGAUUUUCUGCCCUAUCAUGGUUGAGAUUGUAAGAUAGAGGCUUACAAUGCCUACAACGGGUAACGGGGAAUUAGGGUUCGAUUCCGGAGAGGGAGCCUGAGAAACGGCUACCACAUCCAAGGAAGGCAGCAGGCGCGCAAAUUACCCAAUCCCGACACGGGGAGGUAGUGACAAUAAAUAACAAUGCAGGGCCUUUAAGGUCUUGCAAUUGGAAUGAGUACAAUUUAAAUCCCUUAACGAGGAUCAAUUGGAGGGCAAGUCUGGUGCCAGCAGCCGCGGUAAUUCCAGCUCCAAUAGCGUAUAUUAAAGUUGUUGCAGUUAAAACGUCCGUAGUCAAAUUUUAGUCUUUUAGGCGAAGUGGUCUGGUCUUCAUUGAUCAAACUCGCUUCUGCCGAGACUUUUUUUUUGGUUAUGCUAUGGGUUGACUUCGGUCUCCUGUAGUCUCUAGCCAAAGGAUUACCAUGAGCAAAUCAGAGUGUUUAAAGCAGGCUUUUAAGCUUGAAUGUGUUAGCAUGGAAUAAUGAAAUAUGACUUUAGUCCCUAUUUCGUUGGUUGAGGAACAAAAGUAAUGAUGAAUAGAAACGGUUGGGGGCAUUUGUAUUUGGUCGCUAGAGGUGAAAUUCUUGGAUUGACCGAAGACAAACUACUGCGAAAGCAUUUGACCCAGGACGUUUUCAUUGAUCAAGGUCUAAAGUUAAGGGAUCGAAGACGAUUAGAUACCGUCGUAGUCUUAACCACAAACUAUGCCGACUAGAGAUUGGGCCUGUUUAUUAUGACUGGCUCAGCAUCUUAGCGAA
RNAcentral lists this ribosomal RNA (1008 nucleotides) under Mucor gigasporus. RNAcentral describes it as "SSU rRNA". It matches the Rfam family "Eukaryotic small subunit ribosomal RNA", at positions 93 to 1096 of the family's 1831-position model. Lineage: Eukaryota; Fungi; Mucoromycota; Mucoromycetes; Mucorales; Mucoraceae. The record is from RNAcentral.